RNAcentral lists this ribosomal RNA (253 nucleotides) under uncultured bacterium. Its description in RNAcentral is "partial 16S ribosomal RNA". It matches the Rfam family "Bacterial small subunit ribosomal RNA", at positions 524 to 776 of the family's 1533-position model. The record is from RNAcentral.
UACGUAGGGCGCAAGCGUUGUCCGGAAUUAUUGGGCGGAAAGAGCUCGUAGGCGGCUUGUCACGUCGGGUGUGAAAGCCCGGGGCUUAACCCCGGGUCUGCAUUCGAUACGGGCUAGCUAGAGUGUGGUAGGGGAGAUCGGAAUUCCUGGUGUAGCGGUGAAAUGCGCAGAUAUCAGGAGGAACACCGGUGGCGAAGGCGGAUCUCUGGGCCAUUACUGACGCUGAGGAGCGAAAGCGUGGGGAGCGAACAGG